AUUGAACGCUGGCGGCAGGCCUAACACAUGCAAGUCGAGCGGAAGAAGGGAGCUUGCUCCUGGAUUCAGCGGCGGACGGGUGAGUAAUGCCUAGGUAUCUGCCUGGUAGUGGGGGAUAACGUCCGGAAACGGGCGCUAAUACCGCAUACGUCCUGAGGGAGAAAGUGGGGGAUCUUCGGACCUCACGCUAUCAGAUGAGCCUAGGUCGGAUUAGCUAGUUGGUGGGGUAAAGGCCUACCAAGGCGACGAUCCGUAACUGGUCUGAGAGGAUGAUCAGUCACACUGGAACUGAGACACGGUCCAGACUCCUACGGGAGGCAGCAGUGGGGAAUAUUGGACAAUGGGCGAAAGCCUGAUCCAGCCAUGCCGCGUGUGUGAAGAAGGUCUUCGGAUUGUAAAGCACUUUAAGUUGGGAGGAAGGGCAGUAAGUUAAUACCUUGCUGUUUUGACGUUACCAACAGAAUAAGCACCGGCUAACUUCGUG
This 484-nucleotide ribosomal RNA is filed under the name uncultured bacterium. RNAcentral's name for it is "partial 16S ribosomal RNA". It matches the Rfam family "Bacterial small subunit ribosomal RNA", at positions 30 to 507 of the family's 1533-position model. The record is from RNAcentral.